RNAcentral lists this ribosomal RNA (253 nucleotides) under uncultured bacterium. RNAcentral's name for it is "partial 16S ribosomal RNA". It matches the Rfam family "Bacterial small subunit ribosomal RNA", at positions 524 to 776 of the family's 1533-position model. The record is from RNAcentral.
UACGUAGGGGGCGAGCGUUGUCCGGAUUCAUUGGGCGUAAAGAGCUCGUAGGCGGUUUGUUGCGUCGGCUGUGAAAUCCCGAGGCUCAACCUCGGGUCUGCAGUCGAUACGAGCAAACUAGAGUGUUGCAAGGGAGACUGGAAUUCCUGGUGUAGCGGUGAAAUGCGCAGAUAUCAGGAGGAACACCGGUGGCGAAGGCGGGUCUCUGGGCAACAACUGACGCUGAGGAGCGAAAGCGUGGGGAGCGAACAGG